Molecule: ribosomal RNA, 162 nt
Filed under: uncultured anaerobic bacterium
Lineage: Bacteria
Description: partial 16S ribosomal RNA
Rfam family: Bacterial small subunit ribosomal RNA
Source: RNAcentral
UGUGGGAAUAUUGGAGCAAUAGGGGGAGACGCCUGAUGCAGCAACGCCGCGUGAGCGAUGAAGGCCUUCGGGUUGUAAAGCUCUGUCUUCUGGGACGAUAAUGACCGUACCCGAAGGGGAAGGCCCGGGUAACUACCUGCCCGCCGCCGCCGGUAUAUAUAA